RNAcentral lists this ribosomal RNA (407 nucleotides) under uncultured bacterium. RNAcentral's name for it is "partial 16S ribosomal RNA". It matches the Rfam family "Bacterial small subunit ribosomal RNA", at positions 30 to 526 of the family's 1533-position model. The record is from RNAcentral.
AUUGAACGCUGGCGGCAGGCCUAACACAUGCAAGUCGAGCGGAGCGGCGGACGGGUGAGUAAUGCUUAGGAAUCUGCCUAUUAGUGGGGGACAACAUCUCGAAAGGGAUGCUAAUACCGCAUCCUCAUAGAUGAGCCUCAGUCGGAUUAGCUAGUUGGUGGGGUAAAGGCCUACCAAGGCGACGAUCUGUAGCGGGUCUGAGAGGAUGAUCCGCCACACUGGGAAUGAGAAACGGCCCAGACUCCUACGGGAGGCAGCAGGGGGGAAUAUUGGACAAUGGGGGGAACCCUGAUCCAGCCAUGCCGCGUGUGUGAAGAAGGCCUUAUGGUUGUAAAGCACUUUAAGCGAGGAGGCGGUACUCGCAGAGUAAGCACCGGCUAACUCUGUGCCAGCCGCCGCGGUAAUUC